CCUUCGUUCUGCUCCUUAGCACCAGAGCGCUGCGAGGGGGAACGCGCACUCCUCCCCGGCCGUCAGACAGAACUGGAGUGCAGUGCACUGAAGCCCCACUAUCUGCAAGGAAUGCAGAAACCUGAAAAGAACAUGCAGCAUGCAAGAGCCUGGCAGAAGAGCUGUCCUGAAUUGUGGUGGUAGUAACCCCACUGUCACCACCUGAAGUACUGUAGGAGCAUCUCUACUUGUAGGUAAUCUUCCCACACUGGCACACAGAGUCCCAUUAGGAAAUCACACUGGGAAAUGUCUUACCAUCUUUUCUCUGGAAGUCAACAUUAUUGCUGUAGCACGUGGAAAAGUCACUGCUUGUGUCAGUGAUAAUACCUCGCUAGGCCAAGCAGGAGGCACCCAACAAGCAGUCCAGCUGACAUAGGCGAGGGGCAGCCUGUGUCACCUGCUACCGACUCCAUGGGACAUCUUUGGCAGUGAAGAUGUUCCUGUCCACUGUGCCUGGGAUGGAGCCUACCAACAACUGCUGGCCAUAGAGAUGGUGAGAUGGUAGUGUUUGUACUGUAGGUUCAGCACAUCUGUGGCACAUCACUGGAAUGCAAAGCAUCUAGGGCAGAUGUAGAGGCUGGAUAAGGCUCCUUGCCAUCCUUGAAAACACUGUGAAGUGCCAGGCUGGGAUUCCCCUGGCAGUGGGGGAUUCCUUGCCUGGCACUCAUCUAAUCUCAAAUAGGAGGCACUGAGACAUCAGGAGCAGCCCAGCAUCAGGUCCCAGGAGAUGGCCUGUGGUGUGAUGCUGGCCUGUCCAUGCAGCCCUACCAGAGACAUUCCUGACCCCUGCCAGCCCCAACUUGAGAGAUAUUCACUGUCCUCAAAGAACACAGCAAGGGACAGCUGAAGGAGGAAGGAGUGGGCACAAGCUGGCAUUGGGGCGCACACUGUUUCUGUGCUACCUGCAUUUCAGAUGUGUUCACAUCAUGUAACAGGAUCUCAAGCCACCAUUAACUCUUCCUUUACUUGUUGUGUACACACAAGUGACAGUAUGUUUAUAUGAGACAUAAGGACAGUGCACACUGCUGCUGCUUGUCACCUAGGCUAAACACUCAGAUACACAUGUGCUGACAAUCACUGUUGUUACAGUCACUGAUAGGAAAAGCCUUUAAUGAUACACAACUUAGUACAGUUACACAGCCACGGCAGACAGGCAUGAAGCACAUUUGGCUGCCUUAAUUAACCUUAAGAAUUAUGAAGCCGCGCCUGUAACUGAAAUAUAGUUUUGCCUUUUAUAAACUAUUUGACAUGAGAAUUAUGAGGCCAAGAAUUAGAUGUAGGAACACAUCUAAAUAUUUAUGCUAUGUUCAUUACUCUGGUAUCUGAGUGCAUGUUUACAUUGUAACCUCCACUCCAACAUCCAUUAUUUCACUUGGCCAUAAAACCCCGUGUUACCCAUCACACUGUGCCACUGCUCUCCCUGCCAGAAUAGGGAAACACAAUCAUAGAAACAUAGAAUCAUAGAAACACAGAAUCAUUAACACUGGAAAAGACCUCCAGGAUCAUCUAUCUAGUCCAACCAUCAGCUCAUCCCAAUCAUGCCCGCUAACCACGUCCCUCAGUGCCACAACUACCCUUUUCCUGAACAUCUCCAGGAACAGUGACUCUACCACCUCCCUGGGCAGCCUGUUGCAACGCCUCACCACAUUUUUGGAGAAGAAUUUUUUUCCUGAUAUCCAGCUUGAACCUCCCCUACGUUCAGAUCAAGAUCAUCUUAAGUCUUUUCCAACUUAUGAUUCUGUGUUUCUAUGAUGAAUGUCACUGGGUACCAUUUUUCCACAUGAAGGAAUUCAGUCACACUCCAUUGUUUCAUAUAAUGUCAGAAGCCGUUCUCUCAGACUGUCCCUCUGCUGCCAUCUGUCACACAGCAACAACAGGUAACAGGACAUUGAUGGGAAGGUUCAACCUCUACCACCGUACCACCAACAUCCGCCUCUGAUGUCAUGUGCCAACAUAAUAAAACAGGAGGCAUUACUUUGGGAACAGCCCUCCUAAUUCUCACAUGCUCAAUAUAAAACUUGCUGCAACUUCUUGCUUUGAAACCAGGAUACUGGAUUCAGCAGGUUUCUGCCCUAGACCAGAUGGCAGCACAUUGGUUACACAGCCCCUGUGGGCUGCACCUGCUCACUUCAUAUUGCAAAGUCCUCUGACAAGGAGCUCCAGCCCCAGUACUUCAUCAUGGCAACAAAGCAGGGCAGCAGUCAUCAAAACACUGAAAGAAACUGAGUUUAAGUGUACUAAAUGUUUCACCAUUAACAAAGCCAACAUGAUGUAUUUUUUUGGCUGAGGAUUGGGGGAGGGAGAGAACUCUCAGCAAUGGCACUUAGAUGCAAAGCUGUGAAAGUGGCUUUGAGUAACACUG
Molecule: long non-coding RNA, 2401 nt
Organism: Tympanuchus pallidicinctus (lesser prairie-chicken)
Lineage: Eukaryota; Metazoa; Chordata; Aves; Galliformes; Phasianidae
Exons: 4
Source: RefSeq, a predicted model, not a curated record